This 72-nucleotide transfer RNA is filed under the name Neotoma lepida (desert woodrat). It matches the Rfam family "tRNA". From Rfam's summary of the family: Transfer RNA (tRNA) molecules are approximately 80 nucleotides in length. Their secondary structure includes four short double-helical elements and three loops (D, anti-codon, and T loops). Lineage: Eukaryota; Metazoa; Chordata; Mammalia; Rodentia; Cricetidae. The record is from Rfam by way of RNAcentral.
GAGGAUGUGGCUCAGUUGGUAGAGUGUUUGCCUAGUAUGCAGGAAACCCUGGGUUCAACCCCCAGCUCCCCA